RNAcentral lists this ribosomal RNA (537 nucleotides) under uncultured bacterium. Its description in RNAcentral is "bacterial SSU rRNA". It matches the Rfam family "Bacterial small subunit ribosomal RNA", at positions 777 to 1307 of the family's 1533-position model. The record is from RNAcentral.
AAUAGAUACCCCGGUAGUCCACGCCGUAAACGAUGAGUGCUAAGUGUUAGAGGGUUUCCGCCCUUUAGUGCUGCAGCAAACGCAUUAAGCACUCCGCCUGGGGGAGUACGGUCGCAAGACUGAAACUCAAAGGAAUUGACGGGGGGCCCGCACAAGCGGUGGAGCAUGUGGUUUAAUUCGAAGCAACGCGAAGAACCUUACCAGGUCUUGACAUCCUUCGCUACUUCUAGAGAUAGAAGGUUCCCCCUUCGGGGGGACGGAGUGACAGGUGGUGCAUGGUUGUCGUCAGCUCGUGUCGUGAGAUGUUGGGUUAAGUCCCGCAACGAGCGCAACCCUUGACCUUAGUUGCCAGCAUUCAGUUGGGCACUCUAAGGUGACUGCCGGUGACAAACCGGAGGAAGGUGGGGAUGACGUCAAAUCAUCAUGCCCCUUAUGACCUGGGCUACACACGUGCUACAAUGGAUGGUACAAAGGGCUGCAAGACUGCGAAGUCAAGCCAAUCCCAUAAAAACCAUUCUCAGUUCGGAUUGCAGGCUG